This 500-nucleotide ribosomal RNA is filed under the name uncultured bacterium. RNAcentral's name for it is "partial 16S ribosomal RNA". It matches the Rfam family "Bacterial small subunit ribosomal RNA", at positions 30 to 523 of the family's 1533-position model. The record is from RNAcentral.
AUUGAACGCUGGCGGAAUGCUUUACACAUGCAAGUCGAACGGCAGCACGGGGGCAACCCUGGUGGCGAGUGGCGAACGGGUGAGUAAUACAUCGGAACGUGCCCAGUCGUGGGGGAUAACGUAGCGAAAGUUACGCUAAUACCGCAUACGAUCUACGGAUGAAAGCGGGGGACCGUAAGGCCUCGCGCGGUUGGAGCGGCCGAUGUCAGCGUAGGUAGUUGGUGAGGUAAAGGCUCACCAAGCCGACGAUCUGUAGCUGGUCUGAGAGGACGACCAGCCACACUGGGACUGAGACACGGCCCAGACUCCUACGGGAGGCAGCAGUGGGGAAUUUUGGACAAUGGGCGCAAGCCUGAUCCAGCCAUUCCGCGUGCAGGACGAAGGCCUUCGGGUUGUAAACUGCUUUUGUACGGAACGAAAAGGCUCUGGUUAAUACCUGGGGCUCAUGACGGUACCGUAAGAAUAAGCACCGGCUAACUACGUGCCAGCAGCCGCCGUAA